GACGAACGCUGGCGGCGUGCUUAACACAUGCAAGUCGAACGGAAAGGCCCUGCUUUUGUGGGGUGCUCGAGUGGCGAACGGGUGAGUAACACGUGAGUAACCUGCCCUUGACUUUGGGAUAACUUCAGGCAACUGGGGCUAAUACCGGAUAGGAGCUCCUGCUGCAUGGUGGGGGUUGGACAGUUUCGGCGGUUGGGGGUGGACUGGCGGCUUAUCAGCUUGUUGGUGGGGUAGUGGCCUACCAAGGCUUUGGCGGGUAGCCGGCCUGAGAGGGGGACCGGCGACAUGGGGACUGAGAGAGGGACCAGACUCCAACGGGGGGCAGCAGUGGGAAAUAUUACACAAUGGGGGGAAGCCUGAUGCAGAGACGCCGCGUGCGGAAUGAAGGCCUUCGGGUUGUAAACCGCUUUAGCCUGUGACGAAGCGUGAGUGACGGUAAUGGGUAAAGAAGCACCGGCUAACUACGUG
This 468-nucleotide ribosomal RNA is filed under the name uncultured bacterium. Its description in RNAcentral is "partial 16S ribosomal RNA". It matches the Rfam family "Bacterial small subunit ribosomal RNA", at positions 28 to 507 of the family's 1533-position model. The record is from RNAcentral.